AAGAAGAGCGGUUUUAUGGUGUAAACUUCCCGUUAAAAAGACAUUUACACCACAGAAAAGAAGCGUCGAACAAAUGUAAGGAGUUUAAGCUAGUCUUUGCAGCGAAGUAAAGUCCAGAACAGGCUGUUGUGGAGCAUUUCUAAUUGAGGUUGCGGAGUACACCAUGUUAUUGGGAGUCUGCGGUGCCAGCGCGCUAAGAGACAACCAGGGGGGAAAUUAGGCAUAGCUCAGCGGCAGCAGACUGCAGAGCGGGAGGAAGGGAUGGAGACAAACCAGUCCCGUGUCCUCCAGAUGUCCCCUUCUUCACCCGGACUGAUGCAGCCUCUUGCCUUUUGGAUAGUUUCACUGGAGGCAACCAGAUUGGCAUGAAAUGAGCUCAGUUUGACUCGUUAUACGGUCCAAUCAGAUGAGCGCAGAUUUCAUCUCGGCUGGCCCUGCCCUCCCAGAAUCCGACCCCUCGGAUGAAAUGGACUACAUAUUCAUAGGUUCACUUGCAUGGUUGAUUAUGACGACGAAGAUGGAAGGUACAACCUUUCUUCUGUUGUGCGAGAAUGAAGAUUGGAAAUUGAAUAUGCAUUUCCCCCACUGAUUGAGUAAAAGGACACAAUGACAUGGCACCUA
Notothenia coriiceps (black rockcod) is the source of this 621-nucleotide long non-coding RNA. RefSeq lists it as uncharacterized. The transcript has 4 exons. The record is from RefSeq and is a predicted model, not a curated record. Lineage: Eukaryota; Metazoa; Chordata; Actinopteri; Perciformes; Nototheniidae.